RNAcentral lists this ribosomal RNA (250 nucleotides) under uncultured bacterium. Its description in RNAcentral is "partial 16S ribosomal RNA". It matches the Rfam family "Bacterial small subunit ribosomal RNA", at positions 524 to 773 of the family's 1533-position model. The record is from RNAcentral.
UACGAAGGUCCCAAGCGUUGUUCGGAUUUACUGGGCGUAAAGCGUGCGUAGGCGGUAAGGUAAGUCAGAUGUGAAAUCCCGGGGCUCAACCCCGGAACUGCAUCCGAUACUGCUUUGCUAGAGUAAUGGAGGGGCAUCUGGAAUUCAUGGUGUAGCAGUGAAAUGCGUAGAUAUCAUGAGGAACACUAGUGGCGAAGGCGAGAUGCUGGACAUUUACUGACGCUGAGGUACGAAGGCCAGGGUAGCGAAA